CCUACGGGUGGCAGCAGUGAGGAAUAUUGGUCAAUGGACGCAAGUCUGAACCAGCCAUGCCGCGUGCAGGAAGACGGCGCUAUGAGUUGUAAACUGCGUUUGUACGAGGGUAAAAGCAGAUACGUGUAUCUGUCUGAAAGUAACGUACGAAUAAGGAUCGGCUAACUCCGUGCCAGCAGCCGCGGUAAUACGGAGGAUUCAAGCGUUAUCCGGAUUUAUUGGGGUUAAAGGGUGCGUAGGCGGUCGGAUAAGUUAUAGGUGAAAUCCCGCGGCUCAACGUCGGAAUUUCCUCUGAUACGGUUCGUCUAGAGCUUAGUUGCGGUAGGCGGAAUGUCUGGUGUAGCGGU
RNAcentral lists this ribosomal RNA (347 nucleotides) under uncultured bacterium. RNAcentral's name for it is "partial 16S ribosomal RNA". It matches the Rfam family "Bacterial small subunit ribosomal RNA", at positions 338 to 682 of the family's 1533-position model. The record is from RNAcentral.